RNAcentral lists this ribosomal RNA (373 nucleotides) under Porphyromonas gingivalis. Its description in RNAcentral is "bacterial SSU rRNA". It matches the Rfam family "Bacterial small subunit ribosomal RNA", at positions 1 to 373 of the family's 1533-position model. The record is from RNAcentral. Lineage: Bacteria; Pseudomonadati; Bacteroidota; Bacteroidia; Bacteroidales; Porphyromonadaceae.
AUAGAUUUGUCCUGGCUCAGGAUGACGCUAGCGAUAGGCUUAACACAUGCAAGUCGAGGGGCAGCAUGGUCUUAGCUUGCUAAGACUGAUGGCGACCGGCGCACGGGUGCGUAACGCGUAUGCAACUUGCCUCACAGAGGGGGAUAACCCGUCGAAAGACGGACUAAUACCGCGUACACUCUAUGUUGGGCAUCCAAUGUAGAGGAAAUGAACUUCGCUGUGAGAUAGGCAUGCGUCCCAUUAGCUAGUUGGUGAGGUAACGGCUCACCAAGGCGACGAUGGGUAGGGGAACUGAGAGGUUGAACCCCCACACUGGUACUGAGACACGGACCAGACUCCUACGGGAGGCAGCAAUCGAAUUCCCGCUGCCACA